This 76-nucleotide transfer RNA is filed under the name Planctomycetota bacterium. RNAcentral describes it as "tRNA-Val". It matches the Rfam family "tRNA". Rfam says of the family: Transfer RNA (tRNA) molecules are approximately 80 nucleotides in length. Their secondary structure includes four short double-helical elements and three loops (D, anti-codon, and T loops). The record is from RNAcentral. Lineage: Bacteria; Pseudomonadati; Planctomycetota. RNAcentral also lists the same sequence under 1 other name.
GGGCGUUUAGCUCAGUUGGUAGAGCACCAGCUCGACAAGCUGGGGGUCACUGGUUCAAGUCCAGUAACGCCCACCA